This 687-nucleotide ribosomal RNA is filed under the name Clonostachys divergens. Its description in RNAcentral is "partial large subunit ribosomal RNA". It matches the Rfam family "Eukaryotic large subunit ribosomal RNA", at positions 77 to 800 of the family's 3401-position model. The record is from RNAcentral. Lineage: Eukaryota; Fungi; Ascomycota; Sordariomycetes; Hypocreales; Bionectriaceae.
GCCCUAGUAACGGCGAGUGAAGCGGCAACAGCUCAAAUUUGAAAUCUGGCGCAAGCCCGAGUUGUAAUUUGUAGAGGAUGUUUCUGGCGACGUGCCUUCCGAGUUCCCUGGAACGGGACGCCAUAGAGGGUGAGAGCCCCGUACGGUUGGAUGCCUAGCCUCUGUGAAACUCCUUCGACGAGUCGAGUAGUUUGGGAAUGCUGCUCUAAAUGGGAGGUAUACGUCUUCUAAAGCUAAAUACCGGCCAGAGACCGAUAGCGCACAAGUAGAGUGAUCGAAAGAUGAAAAGCACUUUGAAAAGAGGGUUAAAAAGUACGUGAAAUUGUUGAAAGGGAAGCGUUCAUGACCAGACUUGGGCAGGUUGAUCAUCCGUGGUUCUCCGCGGUGCACUCUGCCUGCCCAGGCCAGCAUCAGUUCGCCCCGGGGGAUAAAGGCUUCGGGAAUGUGGCUCCUCCGGGAGUGUUAUAGCCCGCUGCGUAAUACCCUGGGGCGGACUGAGGUUCGCGCACUGCAAGGAUGCUGGCGUAAUGGUCAUCAACGACCCGUCUUGAAACACGGACCAAGGAGUCGUCUUCGUAUGCGAGUGUUCGGGUGUCAAACCCCUACGCGUAAUGAAAGUGAACGUAUGAGAGAGCUUCGGCGCAUCUCCGACCGAUCCUGAUGUUCUCGGAUGGAUUUGAGUAAAAG